Long non-coding RNA from Cydia fagiglandana, 444 nucleotides. RefSeq lists it as uncharacterized. The record is from RefSeq and is a predicted model, not a curated record. The transcript is spliced from 3 exons. Lineage: Eukaryota; Metazoa; Arthropoda; Insecta; Lepidoptera; Tortricidae.
GAGGAACCACAGAAAAUCGCUGUUUGCGGUGAAAACGGAUACGAGCGGGCGCCGCAGACCGGCGGCUGCUACAAGUUUCACUGGGUCACGAAGGCCUGGGACGCCGCGCGGGCCACGUGUCGUGACGAGGGGGCAGACCUGGCUAUCAUCAACAGCGACACCGAAUCUGAAGCACUCCGUGAAAUUUACGACAAGUAUUAUAAUAAGAUCGUUGGUGCUUAUGAUCCCACUUACGCUAUAAUUGGCUAUAAAGAAGUACGUGGAGAGGGCUGGGUGACUAUAAACGGUGACUCGCUGGCCGCCGCAGGCUUCGAAGAAUGGGGGCACUGGGAGCCUAACAAUGCGAGAGGCCUCGAGCAAUGCGGCUGCGUCUUCCAUAAGAACGGUCUACUCAACGACUGCGAAUGCUUUAAGCCUUUUCCGUUCUUUUGCGAGAUUCCUGUG